GGGGAAUAUUGAGCAAUGGAGGGAACUCUGACCCAGCAACGCCGCGUGAAUGAUGAAGGUCUUCGGAUUGUAAAGUUCUGUGACGGGGGACGAAGAAAGUGACGGUACCCCGAUAGCAAGCUACGGCUAACUACGUGCCAGCAGCCGCGGUAAUACGUAGGUAGCAAGCGUUGUCCGGAAUGACUGGGCGUAAAGGGUGCGUAGGUGGCUGAGCAAGUUGGUAGUGAAAUUCCGAGGCUUAACUUCGGCGCUACUACCAAGACUGCCCGGCUUGAGUACAGGAGAGGUAAGUGGAAUUCCUAGUGUAGCGGUGGAAUGCGUAGAUAUUAGGAGGAACACCGGUGGCGAAAGCGACUUACUGGCCUGCAACUGACACUGAGGCACGAAAGCGUGGGGAGCAAACAGGAUUAGAUACCCUGGUAGUCCACGCCGUAAACGAUGAUUACUAGGUAUGGGAGGUAUCGACUCCUUCCGUGCCGCAGCCAACGCAAUAAGUAAUCCGCCUGGGGAGUACGGCCGCAAGGUUGAAACUCAAAGAAAUUGACGGGGACCCGCACAAGCAGCGGAGCAUGUGGUUUAAUUCGACGCAACGCGAAAAACCUUACCAGGUCUUGACAUCCUUUGACCGCCUGAGAGAUCAGGAAUCUCUAGCAAUAGAGCAGAGAGACAGGUGGUGCAUGGUUGUCGUCAGCUCGUGUCGUGAGAUGUUCGGUUAAGUCCGACAACGAGCGCAACCCUUGUAUACAGUUGCCAAUAUUAAGUUAGGAACUCUGUAUAAACUGCCGUGGCUAACACGGAGGAAGGUGGGGAUGACGUCAAAUCAUCACGCCCCUUACGACCUGGGCCACACACGUGCUACAAUGGCUAUUACAAAGAGCAGCGAAACCGCGAGGUAGAGCGAAUCUCAAAAAGAUAGUCUCAGUUCAGAUUGUGGGCUGAAACCCGCCCACAUGAAGUCGGAGUUGCUAGUAAUCCCGGAUCAGCAUGCCGGGGUGAAUGCGUUCCC
This 1006-nucleotide ribosomal RNA is filed under the name uncultured bacterium. RNAcentral describes it as "bacterial SSU rRNA". It matches the Rfam family "Bacterial small subunit ribosomal RNA", at positions 356 to 1375 of the family's 1533-position model. The record is from RNAcentral.